AGAGAACAAACUACCAAUUAACGAGCGAGGAAACAGGGCCAGAGAAUUGGAACAAAAUACAAGGCUGCCUCUGAAAGGAAUAUCUUUGUGCUGAUGUGUCCAUCAAGAGAACAUACACAGAAGUGACACUUGCCAGUAAUUUGCAAGCAGAUGGAACUUCAAUAUGGCAAUAGAGAAAGAAUCAAUUAGACCAGAGUCUCCUCAGGAAGACUUUCUAUAGGUGGACGGUCCCCUGGAGAGCCCGCUGUGUUGGAAGAUGUAGAAUAUUCAUAUAUCUGGUGAGCAUCUGCUAGAUGCCAGGGUUGGGGAGAGUCAAGUUGAAGCAAGCAUGAACCCUCAAGGACCUACCAUUUCAAGGCAAGAAAUAGAUACAAAUACAGCGUAAUUAUCUCUCCAAUUAAAGAGCAACCAAGGGACAACUGAACUGGAGGUUCUGCAGAAUUACAACUAAGCACGCAGCCGAGGAAUCUACUCAGCUUUGAUCUCUUAUCGCUCUGCACACACAGCCCUUUCUCUGUAAGGCUAGCUGCUCUCAGCAUCACUGUGUCUAAUCAAACGUGUCACACCUCCACUGAGAAAAUAUUUACUGGAUAGCUACUAGACAUAAGGAUGCAGAAAUGAAUUAGAAAAAUUCCUCGCCCUUGUUCAAAGCUAUGCUGGCUCUUAGAACAUCUGAGCCCCCACUGUUUCAUCUUUAGAGGAUCCCAGCUGCUGGGGUGUGAGGCCAGUGCUGGAGCCAGCAGUCUCUGACCCAGAAGGGACCUGAGGUGCUAAAGAAAAGAUAUUUAACACAGACACAGAGAGGACGGUGCCACUGGAAGUCAUGCAGCCGCAAGUCAAGAAAUGUCAUGAGUGGCUCCUCUCCAGAAACUAGGAGAGGAGCAUGGGGCAGGUUUUCUCCUAGUGCCUUCAGAGACACAUGGCCCUGCCGACACCUUGAGUUUGGAUUUUUGGCCUCCAGAACUGGGUACAAGCUGGAAAAGGGGAAAAUGAAUCAUGCUACAGGCCAAGUGUCCAUCACUGAUUCCCAGAGAUGCCCUUUGUGUGGUAGGCACUUCCAUGUGGACUCGCUACAGAGUUUGGAGUUCCUGAACAACAUGGACAGUGUUAAUUUGGAUUCCAUGCUUCAUGGCACAGAAUUGGAGCACUAACUACUCAGUGAUGACUUUCUCUUCCUCUAGCUAAGGUGAUCAACAAGUUUCCUUGUUCUUUCUCCAAGUAGUAGAAGAAAGUAAAGGUCAUAAGACCCUAAUUCCAGAGGGCCCUACCCUAUAACCAGAAGGAAGAACUAUUGCACAGAGAAUCUAAGAAGAAUCUAGACAGACAGCCCUUGCUGGAUUUCUCCACUCUGUUAGCAUUCGAUCAUUUGCCUUUUGUCCAGUCAUAUUUCUGCAUGGCUGUCCAUACUUUGUUGAACCUAAGCACAAAAUGGAAAGUUUUCCCUGUAUCUUUGGGUCGUCAU
This 1462-nucleotide long non-coding RNA is filed under the name Homo sapiens (human). RNAcentral describes it as "HSALNT0405875". Lineage: Eukaryota; Metazoa; Chordata; Mammalia; Primates; Hominidae. The record is from RNAcentral.